GGCGCCGCCGGGGCACGGGCUGGGCUGGGCUGGGCUGGGCUGGGCUGGGCUGGGCAGCGGAGCGCGGCAUCGCGGCUGCUGCCGUCCUUUUCUUCUUCCUGCCCUUCGUAACCGCU
Molecule: non-coding RNA, 116 nt
Organism: Gallus gallus (chicken)
Lineage: Eukaryota; Metazoa; Chordata; Aves; Galliformes; Phasianidae
Source: RefSeq, marked provisional